RNAcentral lists this ribosomal RNA (498 nucleotides) under uncultured bacterium. Its description in RNAcentral is "bacterial SSU rRNA". It matches the Rfam family "Bacterial small subunit ribosomal RNA", at positions 8 to 507 of the family's 1533-position model. The record is from RNAcentral.
AGAGUUUGAUCCUGGCUCAGGAUGAACGCUAGCGGGAGGCCUAACACAUGCAAGCCGAGCGGUAGAGAUUCUUCGGAAUCUUGAGAGCGGCGUACGGGUGCGGAACACGUGUGCAACCUACCUUUAUCUGGAGGAUAGCCUUUCGAAAGGAAGAUUAAUACUCCAUAAUAUAUUUGAUGGCAUCAUUAAAUAUUGAAAGCUCCGGCGGAUAGAGAUGGGCACGCGCAAGAUUAGCUAGUUGGUGAGGUAACGGCUCACCAAGGCAAUGAUCUUUAGGGGGCCUGAGAGGGUGAUCCCCACACUGGUACUGAGACACGGACCAGACUCCUACGGGAGGCAGCAGUGAGGAAUAUUGGUCAAUGGGUGCAAGCCUGAACCAGCCAUCCCGCGUGAAGGACGACUGCCCUAUGGGUUGUAAACUUCUUUUGUAUAGGGAUAAACCUACUCUCGUGAGAGUAGCUGAAGGUACUAUACGAAUAAGCACCGGCUAACUCCGUG